RNAcentral lists this ribosomal RNA (253 nucleotides) under uncultured bacterium. RNAcentral's name for it is "partial 16S ribosomal RNA". It matches the Rfam family "Bacterial small subunit ribosomal RNA", at positions 524 to 776 of the family's 1533-position model. The record is from RNAcentral.
UACGGAGGGGGCUAGCGUUGUUCGGAAUUACUGGGCGUAAAGCGCGCGUAGGCGGCUUUGUAAGUCAGAGGUGAAAGCCUGGAGCUCAACUCCAGAACUGCCUUUGAAACUACAUCGCUAGAAUCAUGGAGAGGUUAGUGGAAUUCCGAGUGUAGAGGUGAAAUUCGUAGAUAUUCGGAAGAACACCGGUGGCGAAGGCGACCAUCUGGACGGAUACUGACGCUGAGACGCGAAAGCGUGGGUAGCAAACAGG